Molecule: ribosomal RNA, 253 nt
Filed under: uncultured bacterium
Lineage: Bacteria
Description: partial 16S ribosomal RNA
Rfam family: Bacterial small subunit ribosomal RNA
Source: RNAcentral
UACGGAGGAUCCGAGUGUUAUCCGGAUUUAUUGGGUUUAAAGGGAGCGUAGGCGGCCCGCUAAGUCAGGGGUGAAAGACGGUGGCUCAACCAUCGCAGUGCCCUUGAUACUGGCGGGCUUGAAUGUAGUUGAGGUGGGCGGAAUGUGACGAGUAGCGGUGAAAUGCAUAGAUAUGUCACAGAACGCCGAUUGCGAAGGCAGCUCACCAAGCUAUGAUUGACGCUGAGGCUCGAAAGCGUGGGGAGCGAACAGG